RNAcentral lists this non-coding RNA (224 nucleotides) under Anoxybacillus sp. RNAcentral describes it as "T-box sequence". It matches the Rfam family "T-box leader". From Rfam's summary of the family: Uncharged tRNA acts as the effector for transcription antitermination of genes in the T-box leader family. T-boxes are found upstream of many aminoacyl-tRNA synthetase genes and some amino acid biosynthetic genes usually in Gram-positive bacteria. Lineage: Bacteria; Bacillati; Bacillota; Bacilli; Caryophanales; Anoxybacillaceae. The record is from RNAcentral.
AAUCGAGCGAUGAGCGGAACGAGUAGUGCUUAUCUCCCUGCUGACAGAGAGCUAGUGUUGGUGCGAACUAGCGUACAGGUAAGCAUGAAUUACCUCCGUGAGCAUCUUUUGCGAACAGCUUGUGCGAAAGUAGCAAAAGACGGUAUAAGCCGUUAUAUCAAUGAAGCGAGAGGACAUAUAUGUUCUCUAAGUAGGGUGGUACCGCGAUGAAACUCGUCCCUUCA